Non-coding RNA from Labrus bergylta (ballan wrasse), 478 nucleotides. The record is from RefSeq and is a predicted model, not a curated record. NCBI's taxonomy places the organism in Eukaryota, Metazoa, Chordata, Actinopteri, Labriformes, Labridae.
CGUUGAGUAUUUGACGAGCUGCGUGCGUAGACUGUAGGAUAACUAUCGCAUGAAUAUUAAGGAAUAUGUCUUUAGAAAAGAUACAUUUUGAAGUUAAAUGUGAAGUGACUGAGCAACAUUUAGAUAGCGGCAGUAACUUGAAUGCAUUUUAUUCGCUAAAACUAGUUGGAUAGAGGUUCAACUAAACUAUUGAACUAGAACAGACACAAGUAGCCUAGUACCAUGGGGCAAUGCUGGACUUUGGAUUAACAGCUUCAACUCCUCAUGCUAAUGAGAAAGGACGUUGACUUCAAAAAACUUCAUGCUGUGCUGUCUGAAGAGAAGAGGAGAAGGUGGUAAUGACGGCGACAGUAACGUCACAAAGAGAAAACAACUUAACAUGAAGGAUACAGAAUGUUUCCAUUUGUUUCUUCAUUGAGCUCCUGACGUCAGGAACGCAAACUGUCAGGGACAUUAGAAAAGAUCAACAAUAAAUGCU